This 510-nucleotide ribosomal RNA is filed under the name uncultured bacterium. RNAcentral describes it as "partial 16S ribosomal RNA". It matches the Rfam family "Bacterial small subunit ribosomal RNA", at positions 28 to 507 of the family's 1533-position model. The record is from RNAcentral.
GACGAACGCUGGCGGCGUGCUUAACACAUGCAAGUCGAACGAAGAGCGAUGGAAGCUUGCUUCUAUCAAUCUUAGUGGCGAACGGGUGAGUCACGCGUAAUCAACCUGCCCUUCAGAGGGGGACAACAGUUGGAAACGACUGCUAAUACCGCAUACGAUCUAAUCUCGGCAUCGAGGAUAGAUGAAAGGUGGCCUCUACAUGUAAGCUAUCACUGAAGGCGGGGAUUGCGUCUGAUUAGCUAGUUGGAGGGGUAACGGCCCACCAAGGCGAUGAUCAGUAGCCGGUCUGAGAGGAUGAACGGCCACAUUGGGACUGAGACACGGCCCAGACUCCUACGGGAGGCAGCAGUGGGGAAUCUUCCGCAAUAGACGAAAGUCUGACGGAGCAACGCCGCGUGAGUGAUGACGGCCUUCGGGUUGUAAAGCUCUGUUAAUCGGGACGAAAGGCCUUCUUGCGAAUAGUGAGAAGGAUUGACGGUACCGGAAUAGAAAGCCACGGCUAACUACGUG